UACAGAGGGGGCAAGCGUUUGUUCGGAAUUACUGGGCGUAAAGGGCGCGUAGGCGCCUGUUAAGUCGAACGUGAAAUCCCCGGGCUCAACCCGGGAACUGCGUCCGAUACUGGCAGGCUUGAAUCCGGGGAGAGGGAUGCGGAAUUCCAGGUGUAGCGGUGAAAUGGCGUAGAUAUCUGGAGGAACACCGGUGGCGGAAGGCGGCGAUCCU
Molecule: ribosomal RNA, 211 nt
Filed under: uncultured bacterium
Lineage: Bacteria
Description: partial 16S ribosomal RNA
Rfam family: Bacterial small subunit ribosomal RNA
Source: RNAcentral